RNAcentral lists this long non-coding RNA (497 nucleotides) under Homo sapiens (human). RNAcentral describes it as "HSALNT0310635". Lineage: Eukaryota; Metazoa; Chordata; Mammalia; Primates; Hominidae. The record is from RNAcentral.
UGCUUCCAACCGGCGCGCGGCUGGAGGCUGGGAACCAGCUCCUGGGUCUUAGUCAGAGGUUCACAUCCACCAACUAUCUUCCCAGGGUUGGACUGAGAAGGGGAGCAGAGGGUCCCAGGGACUCUCCUGAGAUCCUGGCUCUCCUGCCAAGGAAUUUACAUUUCCUUGUCACAGUAGCUAUCAUUUUUGCCCUUUGUGGGAAGCACCAUGUAAGAUAUCCAACUACUCUGAAACUACCACACUGUGAAGAGUCUAACCAAGCCACCUGGAGAGACCAAACGGAAGAAAACUAAGGCCCCUGGCCAACAGCCCUAGCUGUGCUCCUACUGGCCAGUCAGCACCAGCCUGCCAGGCAUGUGACUGAGACAGUCUUGGAAGUGGAUUUUCCAGCCCUACUCAAGCUGCCGCAGCUGACACCACAUGGAACAGAGAUGAGCUUUUCUCCCCAGUGCCCAAAUAGCAGAAUUGUGGAAAAAUAAAUAAAACAGUUGUAUUAA